Long non-coding RNA from Mya arenaria, 233 nucleotides. RefSeq lists it as uncharacterized. Lineage: Eukaryota; Metazoa; Mollusca; Bivalvia; Myida; Myidae. The transcript has 3 exons. The record is from RefSeq and is a predicted model, not a curated record.
GGCCAUCCAACACACAGGCACACCUUUAUAGCAGUGUAUACCGCAAACAAUGUCGGUCUUCUUGGCUUGUCCACAGCUCUCCUGGACCAGAUAACGAUUAAGACACAGCUCAUGGAGCAGUGCCUUCCGCAACAAAAGGGCUGACAAGAGGACUGUAGCCUUGUUACAACUGCUGACCCCACUCUUCCAGGUAAAGAAAGUAAGAUGUAACACAGAAGGCUGGUAGAUGGAUG